This 13521-nucleotide long non-coding RNA is filed under the name Manihot esculenta (cassava). RNAcentral's name for it is "long non-coding RNA (MESC_LNC004177)". The record is from RNAcentral. Lineage: Eukaryota; Viridiplantae; Streptophyta; Magnoliopsida; Malpighiales; Euphorbiaceae.
AGAAAUCGAGAUUGGAUUUCACAGGAGGUUCCAUGGAGAUAGUGACCCCUUUGAUGGAAGGUCAGGGACUUUAGCACAUGCAAGUGCACCAACUCAUGGAAGGUGCCAUUUUGAUGGAGAUGAGAUAUGGAGUGCAAAUCCUGGACCUAAUGAGGUGGACUUGGAAUCAGUUGCAGUGCAUGAAAUCGGGCAUCUUCUAGGUCUAAACCAUAGUGAAGACCCAAAUGCUAUAAUGUAUGCUAGAUUCAGUUAUGGGAUUACCAAAAGGGAUUUGGGUACUGAUGAUAUUCAAGGAAUUCGUACUCUGUAUGGAUUGCAGUAAUGAGUUCAUUAUUCUUAUUACAAUAAGAGCAACUGAGAUCCAAUAUGCUUUGGAGGGUUUAGUGCUACGUAGUUUGAAUAAUAAUAUUUUUUAUAAUUCUCAUUUGUAUCACUAGGAAAUAUAUAAAUAAAAGAAAUCUCAUGGUUUUGUAAUUUCAAAUCCUUUUAAAGCUAUAUGACUUCUUUAUAAAAUCUCUACACAAAGAUGUUAAAAAAAACAAUAAAAUGUUUUAAUAUAAGUUUAUUUUAUGUACGAAUUAAACUUUUUAUAAAAAAAAAGAUUAUAAUAGUUCAUUCUCGGCGAUUCUUAAAGGUGUUAUAUUUACAAAUUUUAAUUAUCGUUACUGAGUAUGAUUAAUUAAAUUUAUAUAAUACGUUAAUAUUAUUUUCAUUUGAUUAUUAUUUUAAUUUUACCGUCUUUUUAAAUGAUAAAAUUAUUUAAAAUUACUUAUCUUACAAAUCAAAAUACGUAAGUAAAAAAUUAUAAAUGCAUGUAUUUUUUUUGCUUUGAUUUGUAAAGGUUAUUACAAAAUCAUGAUUUAUGCCUUUACUUCAAAACAUAAGGUUUAAAGUAAAAAUGAAUAAAUACUUCUUUACAAACUAUAAUUUCUAAAUCUAAUAAGCGAAAAGAGGCAUAACUCUGUCAGAAAAAUAGAUUUUAGAAGGAGCUUGUGUAAUUAUAGAACUUGAGAAAAUUAUAAAACUUAAUACAGAAUUAAAACAGAUAAAUCAAUAUGUAGAAUGAUUUGAUUUAAGUUUCUGUCCUUGAAUUUUUUAUGAUUUUUCAAUAUCCAGAACUAUAAAUAUUGAUUUGCCAUACAAACAUAGGGAUUUUUUUUUAAAUUUCAGAUUUAUCUAGUUUUUUUUAUAAAACGUAAUUACUUUACAAUCAUUUGACCGUUAUCUUAAUUUUACAGUCUCUUAGAUAAUAAACGUGAUAGGAUGUAAAUUCUGCCUAUUUAGCAUAUGUUUUAACAUAUUUAAUUUAAUUUGAUUCUGCUAAAUAUUUUCUUUUUCUUUUUGUAAUAUUAGUAGAUUUUAGACAUUUUUGAAAAAAAACUCUAUUUUGAAAGUUUAUUUGUAGAUUUUAGACAUUUUUGAAAAAAAAUUCUAUUUUGAAAGUUUUAGGUAAAAACUUAAGUUGAAGUCAUAAACUUAGCAUUGGGCACGUCUCACGCUGUGAGCAUAACUUCUAUUACACUACAAAACAUUUAUGGAUUACCAAUGGAUUUUUCUGUUGGUAAUCUUGUAAAAAUCCAUUGGUAAAUAAAUUACCAACGGAUUACUAAUUGAUUACGAUCCGUUGUUAAAAAGUUCGUUGGUAAAUUUUUACCAACGGAUUUACUAAUGGAAUUUCCGUUACUAUUACUAAUGGAUUUUAAAUCCGUUAGUAAAUUGAGGGAAAUAAUAUGAGAAAAUAAUAUGAAUAAUAAUAUAGAUAGAAAGAAAAUGAUAGAAAGAAAAUGAUAGAAGAAAAUAAUAUGAGAGGAAAAUGAUAUGAAUGAUAAUUAUAGAGAAAAUGAAGAAUAAGAGAAGAAAAAGAAGAAAAUAAUGGGAAAGAAAAUGGAGAAAGUGAAAGGAAAAUUAUGGAGGAAAAUAAAGAAAAUAAUAGAAGAGAGAAGAGAAUGAGAUAAAAAAGGAUAAGAGAUAAAAGGAAAAUAAUAGAAAAAAAAUGAGAUGAAAAAAAUGAGAUAAUUAUAGAGAAAAUGAAGAAUUAGAGAAGAAAGAGAAGAAAAUAAUGUGAAAGAAAAUGGAGAAAGUGAAAGGAAAAUUAUAGAGGAAAAUAAAGAAAAUAAUAGAAGAGGGAAGAAAAUGAGAUAAAAAAGGAUAAGAGAUGAAAGAAAAUGAGAUAAAAAAAAUGAGAAGAAAAAAAUGAAAUAAGAAAGUGAACUGAAAGAAAGUAAUAGAAAAAAAAGAAAAUUAGAGAAAAUAAAAGAAAGUGAAAAAAAUAAAAAUGAUAAGAUGAAUGAAUGAUAAAAGGAGAAGAAGUGAUGUUAUAUUUGUAAAUAUGGAUUACUAACGGAUUUAAUAACGGAUUUGAAUCCGUUACUAAAUUUCGAAAAUAAAAGUGGGUUUUUUUCCCUCUAAAAAUUACUAACGAAUUUCAAAUCCGUUACUAAGUCCGUUGGUAAUAAAAAAAUGUGAGUUUUUAAAAAAUAAACGUCAAUUUUAAGCGGGAUAUCAAUUUAAAUUUACAAACGGAUUCACUAACAGAUCCGAUAGAUUCAAUAUAUUUUUUUUAAAAUUUAGUAACGGAUUUUCAAAUCCGUUAGUAUUUUUUUGAACACAUUACUAAUGGAUUCUAAAUCCGUUAGUAAUUUAAACAUUUUUUUAAAUUUACUAACAGAUUAAAAUCCGUUAGUGAAUUACCAACGAAUUUACUAACGGAUUUUAAGUCCGUUAGUAAAUUUUAAUACUACUUAUUUUAUAAAUUUAUAAAUUACUUACGGAUUUUGAAAUCUGUUAGUAAUACUAAUAGAUCAUCAAAGGAUUUCAAAUUCGUUGAUAAAUUUUUAUACAAAAUUUUUUACAUUAAAAUUUACUAACGGAUUUAAAAUUCGUUAGUAAAUUCAUUAUUAUUACUAACAUAUUUUAAAUCCGUUAGUAAAAUCCGUUGGUAAAUUGUAACUUUUUUGUAGUAUUAGAUGACUUAUACUAAGAAGUGAAUGAAGUUAUGAAAUAAACCUUGGGCACGCUUCAUGUCAAGGUCACAGAUAGAAUUUGCUGAGAAGUAAGUAAAGCCAUAAAAUAAAUUUUGGCCUAAGUGUACACAGACUUUGGGUACGGCUUAUGCAAUACCACAAGAUUUUCAUAUCUGAUUCUCUAUUAAAUUGCAUAAACCAGUUUAGAAAGAAAUGAUUUUAGAAAGAAUUGGAAAUUUUGGAUUGUUUAUAAUUACUCCUUUUAAAAAGGGAAGAUUCUUUGAAUUGGAAGACUUUUGAAAUAUUAAUACUUUACUUUUUGCUUUUAUGAUUGAUUGCACCAUGAGCUCCAUAAGCUAAUAUUCUUUAUCUAGUUAGGAAACUUUCGAGGUGUAAUUUACUCUUAACUUUCGAGGUGUAAUUUACAAGAAUUGUGAGAUCGAAUCAAUCUUAAUUCUCAUUUUUAUUUCUAAUUUCUAUGUUAUUCCUUUAUUUUUGAGAUUAUUAUUUAUUUAGUUGAUGUAAUCUGAUUAAUUGCUCAAUUGAAUAAAUAACAUAAAGUUAUUAAAAUUCAUUAAAGUUAUAAUUGCUUGUGAGUUUGACACCUAUGAUAAACAAUAUUUUAUUGUGGAAUAACAUGUCGUGCUAGUGUGAGUUUUUUUGGUUAAAAUCAGAUCUUCCUAAUUUUUAAUGUUAUUAUCAAAUUAAAUCUCAUUGAGCUGAUCAGGUGAUUUAUUUGUUAAUUAGAGGCUAAUUAGUGAGAUGAUAUUUUUAGUCUAUUAUAUAAGGAAAGAUUAGGUUGUUAGACUGUGCCAAUAGUUAUAACUGGCCGACUAGAAAUUAAUUUGGAUAUAUUCCUUAAAAUUAAUACUAAGAUAUUCUCAAAACUAGAUAUUUUCUUAAUCUGAUUAAUUUUUUAAUUAUUUGUUUCUUAAUUAGUUUACUCUUACAUUCAGUUAAAUAUUUUCAAUUCAAAACCCCAUUUUUAUAUUUUAUUUUUAUUUUAUUUUACUUUAUUUUUAUGAACGAAUAAAAUUAAAUCGUCCCUUGUGGAUUCGACUCCACUCACCAUAUUUAUAAUUAUUUAUAAUAAGAGUAAGAUUUAUUUUUGUUUGAUUCGACACUCAUCAAAAAGUAUUUUAAAAUGACUUAUUUUAUAAAUAAAACACAUAAUUAUAAAAUAAUAUAUGAAUCUAUUCCUCUUAUUUUGAUUAACAAAAUUUAUUACAAAGUUAUGAUUUAUACAUUUACCUCCUGACAUAAGGUUCAAGGUACACGAGGAUAAACACUUCUUUUAUAAAUUGAUAUUUUAAAAGCAAAUAAUAAUGAAAAAACACUUACAGAAAACACUUAAAAAAAAUCACCAGAAAUAUAAUCGAAUCGAGUCGAAUUAAUUUUUAUAAAGCACACAUUCGAUUAUUAAAAAAUUUUGAAAACUCAACCUCAAAUUGGCUUGCACUCGAUUCAAAAAUUAAAUAUUAUAAUUGAAUUUAGUUCGAACUCAACACUUUGAAAAUUUCGUUUAAUAUAAUAAUGAGCCUAAUUUAACUAGUAAAAAAUUCAUUUAGUAUAAUAACUAAUCUAAUUUAAAUUCGAAUUUGAGAAACUCCACUUAAACGAGCGCACUAAAACAAUUUAAUGAUUUAUUUCUAGUUUUAAUCAAUUAAAUUAAAAGUUAAAACCAUAAAUUCUAAUUUAAUUCACAUCAGAUCAACUUAUCUUGCGUCCAUCUAAAGAUAUUAAAUAAUUAAUUAAUUAAUUAGUUAGAAGACCUUCUAGAGUGUAAAUAGCAAUAAUGCCGAUGAAUUAGUUUUCUCCCCACUUGAUUUUCGUUGUUUAUAAAGAAAUUUAAUAAGAAUGUCUUGAAGUGUUGAUUUGAUUUGUCGACAUAAAUUGAGGGAAAAAAAAACAAAAAAGGAAACGAUGAAGCAAUUCAUAUAUAUAAUAACAAGUUUUUUCAAAAAGAGAAAAGACGAUAUUUUUUGCUAAUUAAAUCUAAAGUAAAAACAGACUUUUUUAAAAAAAAAAAAAAAAAACUGUAUGUUUCUCCAAAAUUUAGUAAUAAAAUUUUUUAAUAUGCAAAAUAACAAUUUAUUUGGGUGUAUUAAUAAUUUGGAUUGAACAAAUAAUUUUCUCAAUUUCCUCAUUUUUUAGGAAAUGAGUGCGUCCAAGGGCAGUGGGUUCCAAGCAACUGAUUAAUUAGAUUGACUUCCCACUUGCUUUUCUUUAUUGGCAACGGGAAAAAAGACCACUUAAUGAGAAUUACUACGAAAUGAUAAACAUCAAUAAAUAAAUAAUUGAAGAGGAAGACUAGGUAGACUAUUCUUCUGAUGGCCAGAAAUUUUCAUAUACUUUCAUAGAAAUUAAACAUUUUCCUUGAGUCUAAAUUAACCCCUUGUUGAAGGCAAGACUUUUAUAAGUCUUUCUUAGUAAACAUAUAUAGAAACUAAGCACUAUAAAUAGAUACAGAAACUCCAUUCAUUCCCACCAAACAUAAGCACUAAUCUCCAACCUCAAUUGAUUGGUAGUUGGAGACUUUUAGCAGCUCAAUCCAAUGAUUCCUAAAACCUUCCAACUUUUUGGAGCCAUUUUGCUCCUCUUCUUGUUUCAGUUACCAAACAGAAUCCAAUCAAAACCAAGUGGAAAUCCUUUUGGGUUUAUCCAACACCUAGAGGGAUGCCACAAGGGUGAAUCUAUAAGUGGGCUCAAGGACCUUAAACGAUAUCUUGAGAAAUUUGGGUACUUGAAUUACGCCAAAAAAAGCAGAAACAACCAUGCAAAUGAUGAUGAGUUUGAUGAUCUUUUGGAGGCAGCAAUCAAGGAUUACCAACACUACUAUCACCUGCAAGCCACAGGAGUUUUAGACAAUAAUACAGUAUCUCAAAUGACGAAACCUAGAUGUGGGGUGCCAGAUGUUGUCAAAAAUGGCACAAACAAGCACUACCAUAAUCCCAAAUCCAUCCACUCAGUAGCCCAUUUCAGCUUCUUCCCUGGACCCCGAAGAUGGCCAGCAGAGAGAAGCCAUUUAAGAUACAGGUUUCGUUCCAGUGUGCAAGUCCCUGGAACUGGCAAUUUCAGGUCCAUAUGUGCACAAGCAUUUCAGAGAUGGGCACAAGUUACCCACUUCACAUUCGAGGAAGUUGAUGCUAAUUCUGAGGCAGAAAUCGAGAUUGGAUUUCACAGGAGGUUCCAUGGAGAUAGUGACCCCUUUGAUGGAAUAUCAGGGACUUUCGCACAUGCAACUGCACCAACUCAUGGAAGGUGCCAUUUUGAUGGAGAUGAGAUAUGGAGUGGAAAUCCUGGACCUAAUGAGUUGGACUUGGAAUCAGUUGCAGUGCAUGAAAUCGGGCACCUUCUAGGUCUAGACCAUAGUGAAGACCCAAAUGCUAUAAUGUAUUCUACCUUUGAUUAUGGGAUUACCAAAAGGGAUUUGGGUACUGAUGAUAUUCAAGGAAUUCGUACUCUGUAUGGAUUGCAGUAAUGAGUUCAUUAUUCUUAUUACAAUAAGAGCAACUGAGAUCCAAUAUGCUUUGGAGGGUUUAGUGCUACGUAGUUUGAAUAUAAUAUUUUUGAUAAUUCUCAUUUGUAUCACUAGGAAAUAUAUAAAUAAAAGAAAUCUCAUGGUUUUGUAAUUUCAAAUCCUUUUAAAACUAUAUGACUUCUUUAUAAAAUCUCUACACAAAGAUGUAAAAAAGAAAAAAAAAAAAAUCAAAUGUCUUAAUGAUCAGUAUUGAGUAUAAUUAAUUAAACUUGUAUAAUGCAUUAAUUUUAUUUCCAUUUGACUAUUAUUUUAAUUUUACAGUCCUUUUAAAUGAUAAAAUUACUUAUCUUACAAAUUAAAAUAUAUAAUUAAAAAAUAUAUAUGUAUUCCAUCUAUUUCAAUUUACCAACUUUAUUACAAGUGAAUGAAUACUUUUUUACGAAAUAAUCUUUUAAAAGCAAAUACUAUAAUUUUUAGAUUUAGUUAGUGGAAAGACAUAAUUAAAACAGAGAAAUCAAUAUUCAAUAUGUAGAAGGAUUUGAUUUAAAUUUUAGCAGAAGUCCCAAGAUUUUUUUAUGAUUUUUCAAUAUCGGGAACUAUAAGUAUUGAUUAAAAUGAUUUCUAAAAGUUAAUUUAUUUUUAAAUAUAUCUUUGACAAAUCCAACUAGAGAAAAAUUAUAACAAGAUUAGGGAUGGCAGGCGGGCGGGUUUUCAUGGGUAUCCGAUCCGCCCAAACCCUAUUAGGACGGAUUUGGUUUUUACAAAAUGGAUUUGGGCGAAUUCGGAUUUGAAAAAUUUUACCCGUCUCGGAUUCGGGUAGGGUUCGGGAUUAGGUAAUCGGAUACCCAUUACCCGAACCCGAUUAACUAUACUAACAAAACUAACCCUAAUCUCUAAUUUAUUUUUUUAUUUUACUCUUUCCUCUCUUCAUCUACAUCUCUCUCUCCCUCGCUUCCCUUCCCAUAGUUCUCAGCCACGCCCCUCCCCCACUUCACUGCCGGCAGCCCAGUCGUCACCGGCGACGUCUCCUUUCUCUCCCCAGUCGACGAUAAAUCUUCUCUUUCCUCCGUCAGCAAUAUCUCCUUCUCUCUCUCCAGCGGCGACAUCUCCGACUUUCCAGUUGAAGACAACUCUUCCCUGUGCCCGGUCGACGUCGGCGAUAUCUCCUUCUCUCUUCCUAGUCGGGUGAAAUCUACUCUUUUCAAUUUACGCUUCUCUCCCCGCACUUCACUGACGCUAGAGACAACCCUUCUCUCCUCAAUCGGCGACAUCUGCUUUGACUAGAACUCUCUUCAGGUUUCAAGAUCUUUUAUGUGUAUGUUCUUAAAGAAUUUUAUAAUUUAUAAACUAUUAAUCUGAUUAUUUGGAUAUAUUAAAAAAUCUAAUUAUUUGCUAUUUGAUUAAUGUAAUACUGUUGAUUUUUAAAAUUUAUGGACAAUUAUCUAAUUAUUUGAUUAUAAAUCAAUAUUUGUUGGGUUGCUGAGUUGCUGGUUCUUGUCAUUGAACAUUUCUCCUCCUACUGAAUUGUGCAACUGUUAGAUAGUUUAUUUGGUUUUGUCAUUGAAUGAAAUUAAAAAAAUUAUUUGCUGAGUUGCUGGUUUGUAUCGAGUUCGGGUAUUGUGCGGGUAUUGUUAAACGGGUUUGGAACGGGUUCGGAUAGUAAAAUUAAAAUAUUAAACGAGUUUGGGACGGGUUCGGGAAUUGUAUAUAUAAUCGGGUUUGGGUUUGGGUACUCUCAAUUUCGCGGGUACCCUACCCAUUUACAUCCCUAAACAAGAUAAGUAUCGAUUAAAAUGAUUUCUAAAAGUUAAUUUAUUUUUAAAUAUAUCUUUAACAAAUCCAUCUAGAGAAAAAUUAUAACAAGAUAAUUCUUCAAUAAUAAAUUUGCCAUACAAACAUAGGUUUUUCUAUUUCAAAGUUACUUAGUUCUUCUCUAUAAAAUGUGAAUUACCUUAUGCACUAUAAAAAAACCUUCGGAUUAUCCACAGAUUUUAUCAACGAAUUUUAAUCUGUUAAUAAUUUUAAUAAAUUUAAAAAUUAAUUAGUAAUUUUUAUAUAAUUUAUAUGUAUUAUUAAAAAAAUUUAAAAAUGAGUGGUAAUUUAUAAAUAAUUAAAAUAAUCGGUGAUGAAAUUUCCUAACGAAUUUAAAACCUAUUAGUAAAUUCUUUGAUAAUUUACUAAUAAAUUUCAAUAUGUCAGUAAAUCUAAAAAAAUAUUUAAAUUAAUAACAAAUUAUAAAUCUAUUACUAAUAUAUUUAAAAAAUCAUUAUCGAAUUUAAAAAUUUAUUAUUAAAUUUUAUUAUUAUAUUAAUAAAUUAAAAAAAUAUUAAAUUUAUCGAUGUUAUCCAUUAGUAAAUCAUUGAUAAAUUUAAAAUGAAAUCAGAUGUAAAAUUUUUACUUUUUCUUUAGAUUUAUAGUUGUCGGUUAAUGACGAAUUUCAAAUCCGUCGAGAAAAAAUCUAAUUUCUUUUUUUGUAAAAUUUAGUAACGAAUUAUGAAUCCAUUACUAAUUCAUAUUUAUAAAUAUAACACUAUCUCUUUUUCUUUUAUUACUCAUUCAUUUUAUCAUUUUUUUUUAUUUUUUUUCCCUUUCUCUCAUUUUUUUUCUUUUUCUAUUAUUUUCUUUUUCACUUUAUUAUUUCAUAAUUUUUUUUAUUUUUUCUAUUAUUUUCUUUUCUAUCUCUUAUAUUUUUUUUCUCUCAUUCUCUUUUCUCUUUUAUUAUUUUUUUCAUUUUUUUCUCAUAAUUUUCUUUUAGCUUUCUCCAUUAUUUUUCCAUCAUUUUCUUCCCUUUACCUCUCAUUUUCUUCAUUUUCUAUAUAAUUCAUUCAUAUUGCCCUUAUUUGAAAUGUCAAAUUUUGAAAGAAUUCGAAAAAUAAAUAAAUUCCUUUAUUAAAUUUUUGUGUUUGGUACAAUCAAUAAUAUAAAAUUUUAAUUUUCUUGAUUUUCGUGAGAAUUGAUUUUGAAUUAAAAGUAAAUUUUGCCAAAAUUAUUGAAUUUUUACAAAAAAAAAAUUUUAUUUAAAGUUACAUCAAAAUUACUUAAUUAGCCAUUGAAUUUUUUUUUUAAAUUUAAUUUUAAAUUUAUUUCUUAUUUUUAAUUAAUAAUUACUCUUUAUAAAAAUUAUUUUAAUUUAAUAGUAACUAUUAAUAUUUAAUGCAUUUAUAAUUAAUAUUAACAAAUUUAUUAUAUUAUUUUAUUAAUUUUAAAAAUAUUUUUUAUAUUUUAAUGGUAAAAAAUUACGUAAAAUUCAAACUUUAAAUAUUAAUAAUGAUUGUGAUAAAAAUGAAUGUUAUUUAUAAAAAUAAAUAUUUAUAUUUGUUUAAAAAUAAUAAGAAUAUAAAUGAAUUAAAUUAAAUUAAAUUUUAUUAUUAAUUUGUCUAACAUAAAUGAGUUAAAUUGAAUUCUAUUAUAUUUAAAUUGAUUCUAAAUAAAUGAAUUUUUUCAGAAAUAAAUUGAAUUUUUUAAUGAAUUGCAUACCAAAUAAGGGCAUUAAUUACUCUCAUAUUAUAUUCUUUUAUCAUUUUUCUUCUAUCAAUAUUUCUUUCUAUUAUUCUCUUUUUUUUUAUUUUCUUGUAUAAUUAUUUGUCCCUUUUUUUUCAUUUCUCUAAUCAUUAUUUUACUCUAUAUUCAUUCUUCCUUCUUUUUUCAUAAUUUUUAUUUUUUUAUUAUUUUCUUUUUUUAUCAUUUUCUCUUCAUCUAUAUUAUUUAUUUUUCUCUUAUUUUUAUUUUUAUGUAUUUCUAAUAAAUAUUGAAUAUAAAUUAAGAAUUUAGUAACAAUAAUAAUAUAAUUUUAAAUUUUAUUGAAGUAAUAAAAAAUAAUAUUAAUAAUAAAAUUUAUUAUUUAAUUAAAAUAAUAAUUAUUUUUAAAUUAUUUAAAUUUUUAAUAUGAAUUUAGUGACAAAUUGCAAUCUGUUAUUAAUUUAUUAAUGGAUUUAUCAACAGUAUCUGUUAAUAAAAUAUUUUUCUUUCAAUUUAUUAAUAAAUUUAAAAUUCAUUAGUAAUAAUAACAGAAAUUUCACUGAUAAAUAUGUUAAUAUUUUUUAAUAGACUUAAAAACUAUUGGUAAAAAUUUAUCGACGAAUUUUUUCAUAACGGAUUGUAAUCCAUUAGUAAUCAUUAUAAACGAAUUACUAAUAAAUUUUAAUUAAUUAGAUUAUUAACGAAAAAAUUCAUUGAUAAUGCAAAAAUUUCUUAACAAUCAUUUGACUGUUAUCUUAAUUUUACAGUCUCUUAAAUGAUAAAAGUGAUAGGAUGCAAAUUCUGCCUAUUUAGUAUAUGUUUUAAUAUAUUUAAUUUGAUUUGAUUUUGCUAAAUUAUGAAUAUUUUUUUCCCUUUUAUAAUAUUAGCCAAUUUUAUUCAUUCUAGAAAGAAAAAUUCUAUUUUAAAAGUUUAGACAAGAAUCAGAAUUGGAGUCCUAAAUCUAGCCUUGAACAUGUCUUAUACUGUGAGCACAACUUAUAUGAGUUAACUUAUAGUGAGAAGUGAAUGGAGUCAUGAAAUAAAUCUUAGGCAUGCUUCAUAUAAAGGUCACACAUAGAAUUUAUUGAAAAGCAAGUAAAGCUAUAGAGUAAACCUUGGGCUAAGCAUGCACAGACUUAUGCAAUGUCACAGAAUUUUCAUAUCUAAUUCUCUAUUAAAUUGUAAAAAUCAAUUUAGGAAGAAAUGAUUUUACAAAGAAAUGACACUUUUAGAUUGUUACUUCUAGAUUUUCUUUUAUUUCUCUUUAGUUUAGGAUUACUCUCGUUUAAAAAAUGGAAGGUUCUUUGAAUGGGAGAACUUUUGAAACUCAUGAUGCUUUACUUUUUUGCUUUUAUGAUUAGUUCUUUGAAUGGAAAAAUGGAAGAUUCUUUGAAUUAAAAAAACACAUAAAAAAAUAUUCACACAAGUGUAAUCAAACUGAACUGAACUGAUUUUUGUAAAAUUUAGAUUCAUUUAUUAAAAAAUUUUAAAAAUUCGACCUCGAGCUGGUUUAAACUCAAUUCGAAAAUUAAAUACUAUAAUCGAGUUCAGUUCACACUCGACUCAUAAAAAACUCGUUUAGUAUAAUAACGAAUCUAAUAACUUGACUCAUAAAAAACUCAUUUAGUAUAAUAAUGAGUCUAAUUUCAACUUUAAUAUGAAAAUUUGAAUUAAAAAAUUUAAAUUCGAAAAAUUCAAUUAAAAAACUCCAACUCGAAAAAUUCUAAAACAAUUUGAUGAUUUAUUUUUAAUUGUAAUCAAUUAAAUUAAAAGUUAAAACAAUAUAUUAUCAUUUAAUUCACAUCAGAUCAACUUACCUUGCGUCCAUCUAAAGAUACUAAUUAAUUAAUUAGUUAGAAGACCUUCUAGAGUGUCAAUAGCAAUAAUGCCGAUGAAAUAGGAUCUCCACACUUGCUUUUCGUUGUUUAUAAAGGAAUUUAAUAAGAAUGUUUUUAAAGUGUUGAUUUGAUUUGUCCGCAUAAAUUGAGGGAAAAAGAACAAAAAAGGAAAGGACGAAGCAAUUCAUAUAUAUAAUAACAAGUUUUUCCAAAAAGAGAAAACACGAUAUUUUUUCCUAAAUCUAAACUAAAAACAGACUUUAAAAAAAAAAAAAAACUGUAUGCAUGUUUCUCCAAAAUUUAACAAGGAUUCGAGUAUGUGUCUCCAAAAUUUAGUAGAAAAUUUUGAAUAUGCAAAUUAACAAUUUAUUUGAGUGUAUAAAUAAUUUGGAUUGAACAAAUAAUUUUCUCAAUUUCCUCAUUUUUUAGGAAGGCUUUGUAGUGCGUCAAGGGCAGUGGGUUCCAAGCAACUAAAUAAUUAGAUUGACUUCCCACUUGCUUUUCCUUUUUGGCAACGGGAAAAUAAGACCACUUAAUGAGAAUUACUAGGAAAUGAUAAACAUCAAUAAAUAAAUAAUUCAAGAGGAAGACUAGGUAGACUAUUCUUCUGAUGGCCAGAAAUUUUCAUAUACUUUAACAUAGAAAUUAAGAAUUUUCCUUCAGUCUAAAUUAACCCCUUGUCGAAGGCAAGACUUUUAUAAGUCUUUCUAAGUAAACAUAUAUAGAAACUAAGCACUAUAAAUAGAUACAGAAACUCCAUUCAUUCCCACCAAACAUAAGCACUAAUCUCCAACCUCAAUUGAUUGGUAGUUGGAGACUUUUAGCAGCUCAAUCCAAUGAUUCCUAAAACCUUCCAACUUUUUGGAGCCAUUUUGCUCCUCUUCUUGUUUCAGUUACCAAACAGAAUCCAAUCAAAACCAAGUGGAAAUCCUUUUGGGUUUAUCCAACACCUAGAGGGAUGCCACAAGGGUGAAUCUAUAAGUGGGCUCAAGGACCUUAAACGAUAUCUUGAGAAAUUUGGGUACUUGAAUUACGCCGAAAAAAGCAGAAACAACCAUGCAAAUGAUGAUGAGUUUGAUGAUCUUUUGGAGGCAGCAAUCAAGGAUUACCAACACUACUAUCACCUGCAAGCCACAGGAGUUUUAGACAAUAAUACAGUAUCUCAAAUGACGAAACCUAGAUGUGGGGUGCCAGAUGUUGUAAAAAAUGGCACAAACAAGCACUACCAUAAUCCCAAAUCCAUCCACUCAGUAGCCCAUUUCAGCUUCUUCCCUGGACCCCGAAGAUGGCCAGCUGAGAGAAGCCAUUUAAGAUACAGGUUUCGUUCCAGUGUGCAAGUCCCUGGAACUGGAAACUUCAGGUCUAUAUGUGCACAAGCUUUUCAGAGAUGGGCACAAGUUACCCACUUCACAUUCGAGGAAGUUGAUGCUAAUUCUGAGGCAGAAAUCGAGAUUGGAUUUCACAGGAGGUUCCAUGGAGAUGGGAACCCUUUUGAUGGAAUAUCAGGGACUUUAGCACAUGCAUUUGCACCAACUAAUGGAAGGUGCCAUUUUGAUGGAGAUGAGAUAUGGAGUGCAAAUCCUGGACCUAAUGAGGUGGACUUGGAAUCAGUUGCAGUGCAUGAAAUAGGGCAUCUUCUGGGUCUUGACCACAGUGAGGAUCGAAAUGCUAUAAUGUAUUCUACCUUUGAUUAUGGGAUUACCAAAAGGGAAUUGGGUACUGAUGAUAUUCAAGGAAUUCGUACUCUGUAUGGAUUGCAGUAAUAGUUGCAUUAUUUUAU